This 253-nucleotide ribosomal RNA is filed under the name Faecalibacterium prausnitzii. Its description in RNAcentral is "partial 16S ribosomal RNA". It matches the Rfam family "Bacterial small subunit ribosomal RNA", at positions 524 to 776 of the family's 1533-position model. The record is from RNAcentral. Lineage: Bacteria; Bacillati; Bacillota; Clostridia; Eubacteriales; Oscillospiraceae.
AACGUAGGUCACAAGCGUUGUCCGGAAUUACUGGGUGUAAAGGGAGCGCAGGCGGGAAGACAAGUUGGAAGUGAAAUCCAUGGGCUCAACCCAUGAACUGCUUUCAAAACUGUUUUUCUUGAGUAGUGCAGAGGUAGGCGGAAUUCCCGGUGUAGCGGUGGAAUGCGUAGAUAUCGGGAGGAACACCAGUGGCGAAGGCGACCUACUGGGCACCAACUGACGCUGAGGCUCGAAAGUGUGGGUAGCAAACAGG